CAAAUUUGAAAUCUGGUACCUUCGGUGCCCGAGUUGUAAUUUGGAGAGGGCAACUUUGGGGCCGUUCCUUGUCUAUGUUCCUUGGAACAGGACGUCAUAGAGGGUGAGAAUCCCGUGUGGCGAGGAGUGCGGUUCUUUGUAAAGUGCCUUCGAAGAGUCGAGUUGUUUGGGAAUGCAGCUCUGAGUGGGUGGUAAAUUCCAUCUAAAGCUAAAUAUUGGCGAGAGACCGAUAGCGAACAAGUACAGUGAUGGAAAGAUGAAAAGAACUUUGAAAAGAGAGUGAAAAAGUACGUGAAAUUGUUGAAAGGGAAGGGCAUUUGAUCAGACAUGGUGUUUUGUGCCCUCUGCUCCUUGUGGGUAGGGGAAUCUCGCAUUUCACUGGGCCAGCAUCAGUUUUGGUGGCAGGAUAAAUCCAUAGGAAUGUAGCUUGCCUCGGUAAGUAUUAUAGCUGUGGGAAUACUGCCAGCUGGGACUGAGGACUGCGACGUAAG
Molecule: ribosomal RNA, 491 nt
Filed under: Saccharomyces cerevisiae (brewer's yeast)
Lineage: Eukaryota; Fungi; Ascomycota; Saccharomycetes; Saccharomycetales; Saccharomycetaceae
Description: LSU rRNA
Rfam family: Eukaryotic large subunit ribosomal RNA
Source: RNAcentral